UACCUGCAGCUCAAGUGGUGGCCGUUAUUAUUGGGCCUAAAACGUCCGUAGCCGGUUUAUUAAAUGCCUGGGUAAAUCGGGCCGCUUAACGGUUCGAAUUCCGGGUAGACUGAUAGACUUGGGACCGGGAGAAGCUAGAGGUACUCCUGGGGUAGAGGUGAAAUUCUGUAAUCCUAGGGGGACCACCAGUGGCGGAGGCGUCUAGCUAGAACGGGUCUGACGGUGAGGGACGAAGCCCUGGGGCGCAAACCGGAUUAGAUACCCGGGUAGUCCAGGGUGUAAACGCUGCUUGCUUGAUGUUAGUCGGGCUCCGAGCCCGAUUAGUGUCGGAGAGAAGUUGUUAAGCAAGCUGCCUGGGAAGUACGGCCGCAAGACUGAAACUUAAAGGAAUUGGCGGGGGAGCACAGCAACGGGUGGAGCGCGCGGUUU
This 429-nucleotide ribosomal RNA is filed under the name uncultured archaeon. RNAcentral describes it as "bacterial SSU rRNA". It matches the Rfam family "Archaeal small subunit ribosomal RNA", at positions 474 to 903 of the family's 1478-position model. The record is from RNAcentral.